GCUAUUGAGGUUUAUUGAUUGAUUCAAUUUUGAUAGAAUUCUAACUCACUAAACACAAUUUUACAUGUGCAAUUCAAAUUAUUUUGCUUUACUAGCUCCUGCUUUUCUACUUUAAGAAGCUUGUAUUUUGAAGAUGCUCCAGGAUCUCCAACCAAAGGAGGUAUUACAUGAAAGAACUGCUCACUACCUGAGGAAUUACAACUAUAGGAACAGAAAGGAUGGUGAACUGUGAAACAGUCUAGCUGACACAGGGAAAACACGUCUUCAGGGAUGAGAAAGAGACAGUCUUGGUAGCUAUCAUAUUUUGUACCAUCGCGAAGAUUCAGUCAAGAUGGUGUUGGAUGAUGGCUGCCAAACAAAAGUGGAAUGUGUGAGUAGGCCCUCCUGUGAAAUGGCCUUUGGACUGAGCUUCAUACAUGUGACUAGUUCCCAUUGUAGUCUCCUGAAACUUGAUUUUAAUUGGGAAAAUAAAGAUACGGAAAUUGCUGCAUGUGCAAUAGAGUGUGACCUUGUUUUGUCUCUUCUGCUUCAUAGAGCUAUAUAAUGCUAAUUCGAGAAUUUGGAUUGGAGAAAAGGAAGAAUGGUGAAAGCAAGCGAUGGGGAUUCUGAAGAAGUUAUUAAGGGGCGUUUGCAGUCUCUGUGUGACGUUGUGCAGGAUCCCAACGUUGCAGAGUCAGCUACCUACCUGGUCAUUCAUUGUUCUUUUAUGUAUUUAAAUAUGGGCCAAGGUGGGUGAAUGCUUAGAAGAAAAACCUCCUGGGAUGUUGUAAAGUGUUAAAACGAAUGCUGUUGCUGAUUUAAUAACAUAACUCUUCCUUUCUAGGAUGGGCUGUACUGGUAUUUUACUUCAAGAAGUGUCGUGCUGGAGCUGCGACAACACUUUGGUGAGUUAAAUAGUCGUUAUCCAAGCACGAAAUAUGAAACUUAAGUAUGGCCUAGUGUGUACUACAGGGUUGCAAAUGUAACUGAGGUCAAGUCACUGUGGGUGUGAAAAAGUGCACUUUUACCUUUAUGUUAAGAGUGAGACCAGCUACAGGCCUAGGACUAGGUAGAUUAGAUUCUGGUUUGGCUCUAGUUUUCCUCCCCUCCCUUCCCCAAAGGAAAGAAAAUAACAUAAAAGGGUUUUUUUUUUUUUGGAAAAUAAUAAACAUAGGGCCUUUAAAGUGCGUUUGAAUUCC
This 1178-nucleotide long non-coding RNA is filed under the name Struthio camelus australis. Its description in RNAcentral is "lncRNA (ENSSCUG00000002714.1)". The record is from RNAcentral. Lineage: Eukaryota; Metazoa; Chordata; Aves; Struthioniformes; Struthionidae.